GACGAACGCUGGCGGCGUGCUUAACACAUGCAAGUCGAACGGAAAGGCCCCUUUGGGGGUCCUCGAGUGGCGAACGGGUGAGUAACACGUGAGUAACCUGCCCUUGACUUCGGGAUAACUUCAGGAAACUGGGGCUAAUACUGGAUCGGAAUCCUUGCUGCAUGGUGGGGGUUGGAAAGCUUCGGCGGUUUUGGAUGGACUCGCGGCUUAUCAGCUUGUUGGUGGGGUAGUGGCUUACAAAGGCUCUGACGGGUAGCCGGCCUGAGAGGGCGACCGGCCACAUUGGGACUGAGAUACGGCCCAGACUCCUACGGGAGGCAGCAGUGGGGAAUAUUGCACAAUGGGCGGAAGCCUGAUGCAGCAACGCCGCGUGCGGGAUGACGGCCUUCGGGUUGUAAACCGCUUUCAGCAGGGGCGAAGCUUUUGUGACGGUACCUGCAGAAGAAGCACCGGCUAACUACGUG
RNAcentral lists this ribosomal RNA (464 nucleotides) under uncultured bacterium. RNAcentral's name for it is "partial 16S ribosomal RNA". It matches the Rfam family "Bacterial small subunit ribosomal RNA", at positions 28 to 507 of the family's 1533-position model. The record is from RNAcentral.